AAGAUAAAUGAAUGUUCCAAGAUUGAGUACAUGAUGUUACAGUUCUGCGUGCAAGUAUCUGGGUGAUUCAAGGUAAUAAAAUCAUGGAAUUGGAAUUUUCAUCAACAAAAAAUUUCAAAGAUCACUACAUCUUACUCUCAACCCUUUUAAGGUUCAUGUUCUUGGAUAUAAAAUCUUAGUUCUUGAAAAAGGUAGUUUCCAAACCGCAUGCUACAUCUGUUUUGGUUGGUUCAAAAGGAUUGUUUCGUUCUGCAACUGAAGAAACUUUGGUAUGUUUAAGAGCCAGGAACUAGAAAAUAAAAAAGAGAUCAGUUAAGCCUCAUAUGGGCUGCUCUAAGUUGCUGAAAUAAAUUCGACGUCAUUUUUUUCUCAAAAAGAUCCUUUACCACGUAGUCUCAUACAUUACAUCCUUCUGUAACCUGUAGAGCCAUACCAAUAAAUGCACACUCCAUUAGCUCCUCAAGGAAUGUGGCAUCAAACAACAAACCCUUAAGCAGGAACAGAUGUCAAAAAAAGAAGGGU
Molecule: long non-coding RNA, 522 nt
Filed under: Phoenix dactylifera (date palm)
Lineage: Eukaryota; Viridiplantae; Streptophyta; Magnoliopsida; Arecales; Arecaceae
Description: long non-coding RNA (PDAC_LNC022492)
Source: RNAcentral